This 210-nucleotide long non-coding RNA is filed under the name Nicotiana benthamiana. RNAcentral's name for it is "long non-coding RNA (NBEN_LNC000316)". Lineage: Eukaryota; Viridiplantae; Streptophyta; Magnoliopsida; Solanales; Solanaceae. The record is from RNAcentral.
AAUCAUCAACUAUGGUGAGAAAGUACUUACUGCCAAGGGAAGUGGAAGUAUGAUAAGGGCCCUAAGUAUGUACGUGUAUAAGUUGGAAGGGUUUAGUAGUGCUAAUGCUACUAUCAGGGAAAUGCAGUCUGGUUUGUUUUGCCAUAUGACAAAUAGAACAAGGAAAAGGUUGUUUAGCAGCAAAAGAAAAAGGUAAACCAGAAACAUGUU